UAAGACGAACCGUGCGAACGUUGUUCGGAAUCACUGGGCUUAAAGGGCGCGUAGGCGGAUUCUCAAGUCAGGGGUGAAAUCUUUCGGCUUAACCGGAAAACAGCCUUUGAUACUGAGAGUCUCGAGCGAGGUAGGGGCAGCUGGAACUUCCGGUGGAGCGGUGAAAUGCGUUGAUAUCGGAAGGAACGCCGGUGGCGAAAGCGAGCUGCUGGACCUCUUCUGACGCUGAGGCGCGAAAGCCAGGGGAGCAAACGGGAUUAGAUACCCCGGUAGUCCUGGCCCUAAACGAUGAAUACUAGGUAGCGGACUGGACAUGGGUUCGCUGCCGAAGCAAAAGUGCUAAGUAUUCCGCCUGGGGAGUAUGGUCGCAAGGCUG
This 376-nucleotide ribosomal RNA is filed under the name uncultured bacterium. RNAcentral describes it as "bacterial SSU rRNA". It matches the Rfam family "Bacterial small subunit ribosomal RNA", at positions 521 to 896 of the family's 1533-position model. The record is from RNAcentral.